UGCCGGCGGCGGAUCGUGCCGUCAAGGGCUUAGGCCGAGGGCGGCCAGCCUUCCCUCUCCGCGGCGUCUCGGUCUCGGUGCGCCGCCGCGGCCCAUGGGGAGAGUCGGCCUGGCGGGCCGGAAUAAUACAAUGAAAUGUCAUCUGCUCUUAAGAGAAGAAAGAGCUUCAUGAUCUGGGAAAGCAGAGGAUGUGGCUAUAACUGCACCCCCAGCAACAGAAGAGCAAGCGUAUCUGGAAAUCUGAAGAGGAAGGGUAAAAAACCACCUUGAAAUGUUUGCUGAUAUAACAGGUUCUUGACCACCCACAAGUUCAUUCAGGUAUUGCUGAUCAAUCUUAUCCAAAGCUGCUUUUAGAUCAUUCCUCAAUCCCUAAGAAAGGUGAAAAAUUAGACCAGUUUGUGACUGUUUAAGAAAAAUGAAAGCCUUAAGCUGGACCCUUAAGGACCAAAGAUCUAAAUGUAAGAGCUAAAAGUAUAAAUUCAGAAUAAAACAUAAGGGGAAAGCUUCAUGACAUUGGAUUUGGGAAUGAUUUCUUAUAUACAACACCACAAGCACAGGCAACAACUACAGCAAAAACAGGGACAGCACAAAGAGAAAACAUGCACGUCGGAAACAGCAUUCUUGCUACAGAAGAGUGACAUUAAAUGUAAUGGUUUCC
Molossus molossus (Pallas's mastiff bat) is the source of this 658-nucleotide long non-coding RNA. RefSeq lists it as uncharacterized. The record is from RefSeq and is a predicted model, not a curated record. The transcript has 5 exons. Lineage: Eukaryota; Metazoa; Chordata; Mammalia; Chiroptera; Molossidae.